RNAcentral lists this long non-coding RNA (231 nucleotides) under Mytilus galloprovincialis (Mediterranean mussel). Lineage: Eukaryota; Metazoa; Mollusca; Bivalvia; Mytilida; Mytilidae. The record is from RNAcentral.
GUUUCAACAGGUAAUGUAUAUUUCAUUGUGUUGUAUAUUUCUCCGCCUGCAUGAUAUGAGGCAGUUUUUAUAAAAGGGGGAAGUUUCCCAAUAUUUAAAUCAAAUAAUAACAUUAACACAUUAAACAACAUUUGAAAAUGUGUUUUUUUAGAUUGCAGUAUAAAGACAAUAAUAGUGCAUUGACUUGACAUAUCAACGAUACAAGGAUUCGGCCCGAAACGUGGAAAAGCU